Molecule: long non-coding RNA, 585 nt
Filed under: Bos taurus (domestic cattle)
Lineage: Eukaryota; Metazoa; Chordata; Mammalia; Artiodactyla; Bovidae
Description: long non-coding RNA NONBTAT019596
Source: RNAcentral
UUAUGUCAGCAUUUUAUGGUGCAUCAAGUUAUGAAAAUUUACUAAAAGGAAACUCACAUGUUUAGAUUUCUUAUUGCUAAAAUGUUAGGUAAACAUUUAAAUUAUUUGAUUUGACCUCGUGCUUUUAUACAUUUCUAUAGCAUCUGUGCUCUAUAUUCACUUUCCCCUUAACUAUAUCCUUACUUUACUAGUACAGUGGCAAUAUGACAAAUUAAUUUCUUCCUCAAAAAUGAUAAGAGAAAUUGUAUGUAACAUUUUAUUACUGCCCUCUGGUAUCCAUUGUUGCUAACCUUUGUGCUGUAAGCAGUCACAAUUUUACUGAAAGUCAAAAUUUAUACUUAAUUUAUAGCUUGGUACUGUCCUAAGGUUUAUAAAAAUGAAACAUCAUGGUAAUGGACAAUCAGAAGCACCAAGGUAUAUAUCAUAUUUUCAUCUUAUUGACAGACAUCUGCUAGUCAGUGCUCUUCAAGGUGUUUUGAUGACCUUGCAUUUAAAUACAUAGCACUAUUUACUUACAAAAAAAUAGGAUGUAUGUGUCAGAGAGCUUGAGACUCCUCAAUGGCAGAUCAAGGGCAAUAACUUUCA